This 22-nucleotide microRNA is filed under the name Canis lupus familiaris (dog). RNAcentral describes it as "cfa-miR-8877". The record is from miRBase by way of RNAcentral. Lineage: Eukaryota; Metazoa; Chordata; Mammalia; Carnivora; Canidae.
CCAUGCUGUCGUGUUCGUGGCC